This 253-nucleotide ribosomal RNA is filed under the name uncultured bacterium. Its description in RNAcentral is "partial 16S ribosomal RNA". It matches the Rfam family "Bacterial small subunit ribosomal RNA", at positions 524 to 776 of the family's 1533-position model. The record is from RNAcentral.
UACGUAGGGGGCAAGCGUUGUCCGGAUUUAUUGGGCGUAAAGAGCGUGUAGGCGGCCAGAUAGGUCCGUUGUGAAAACUCGAGGCUCAACCUCGAGACGCCGAUGGAAACCAUUUGGCUAGAGUCCGGAAGAGGCGAGUGGAAUUCCCGGUGUAGCGGUGAAAUGCGCAGAUAUCGGGAGGAACACCAAUGGCGAAGGCAGCUCGCUGGGACGUUACUGACGCUGAGGCGCGAAAGCGUGGGGAGCAAACAGG